RNAcentral lists this ribosomal RNA (374 nucleotides) under uncultured bacterium. RNAcentral's name for it is "bacterial SSU rRNA". It matches the Rfam family "Bacterial small subunit ribosomal RNA", at positions 148 to 507 of the family's 1533-position model. The record is from RNAcentral.
UUCGGGAAACCGGAGCUAAUACCGGAUAAUAUAAAAGAUCACAUGGUCUUUUAUUGAAAGAUGGCUUCGGCUAUCACUUAUAGAUGGGCCCGCGGCGCAUUAGCUAGUUGGUGAGGUAAUGGCUCACCAAGGCGACGAUGCGUAGCCGACCUGAGAGGGUGAUCGGCCACACUGGGACUGAGACACGGCCCAGACUCCUACGGGAGGCAGCAGUAGGGAAUCUUCCGCAAUGGACGAAAGUCUGACGGAGCAACGCCGCGUGAGCGAUGAAGGCCUUCGGGUCGUAAAGCUCUGUUGUUAGGGAAGAACAAGUAUCGUUCGAAUAGGGCGGUACCUUGACGGUACCUAACCAGAAAGCCACGGCUAACUACGUG